RNAcentral lists this ribosomal RNA (787 nucleotides) under uncultured bacterium. Its description in RNAcentral is "bacterial SSU rRNA". It matches the Rfam family "Bacterial small subunit ribosomal RNA", at positions 8 to 801 of the family's 1533-position model. The record is from RNAcentral.
AGAGUUUGAUCAUGGCUCAGAAUGAACGCUGGCGGCGUGCUUAACACAUGCAAGUCGAACGAUGAAGCCUUUUCUAUCAUUUAUGGUAGGCUAGGUGGAUUAGUGGCGCACGGGUGAGUAAUAUAUAGUUAACGUGCCCCCGAGACCGGGAUAGCCAUUGGAAACGAUGAUUAAUACCGGAUACUCCUUCUCAAUAUAAUUUGAGUCGGGAAAGUUUUUCGCUCGGGGAUCGGACUAUAUCGCAUCAGUUAGUUGGUGGGGUAAUGGCCUACCAAGACAAUGACGCGUAGCGGGUUUGAGAGGAUGAUCCGCCACACUGGUACUGAGACACGGACCAGACUCCUACGGGAGGCAGCAGUGAGGAAUAUUGCACAAUGGGGGGAACCCUGAUACAGCAACGCCGCGUGGAGGAUGACGCAUUUCGGUGUGUAAACUCCUUUUAUAUGUCAAGAAAAUGACGGUAGCAUAUGAAUAAGCACCGGCUAACUCCGUGCCAGCAGCCGCGGUAAUACGGAGGGUGCAAGCGUUAUUCGGAAUCACUGGGCGUAAAGGACGCGUAGGCGGGUUAUCAAGUCAGGUGUGAAAUCCUACAGCUUAACUGUAGAACUGCAUUUGAAACUGGUAGCCUAGAGUAUGGAAGGGGCAGAUGGAAUUAGUGGUGUAGGGGUAAAAUCCGUAGAUAUCACUAGGAAUACCGAAAGCGAAGGCGAUCUGCUGGGACAUUACUGACGCUAAGGCGUGAAAGCGUGGGGAGCAAACGGGAUUAGAUACCCCGGUAGUCCACGCC